AAAACUUAGUACAACAGAAUCUACAUUCUUAGAAAAGAUGACAGGAAAAUACAAGGACGUAUCAUGUUGUGAACAAAGUCAUAUUGUAUAGCGGUUAUUAUAAUGCACGCAAAGAUUCAUUAACUGCUAGACAGCAUGUGUAAACAAUUCAAACCUCUAAUCAAAGCAAAAGAAAAAUCCAUGACUAGUUAUUAAAUGUAUGAUUAUUUCUUGCUGUUGCAUUCAAUGCUUUAGCACUUCGUAUUAAUAUUACCUAAUUAAAAUAUUUUCAUAACAA
This is a long non-coding RNA of Xenia sp. Carnegie-2017, 277 nucleotides long. RefSeq lists it as uncharacterized. The transcript has 2 exons. The record is from RefSeq and is a predicted model, not a curated record. Lineage: Eukaryota; Metazoa; Cnidaria; Anthozoa; Malacalcyonacea; Xeniidae.